CAUUGUGGACCCACCUGAUUCCAUGCCGAACUCAGAAGUGAAACGCAAUAGCGCCGAUGGUAGUGUGGGGUUUCCCCAUGUGAGAGUAGGACAUCGCCAGGC
RNAcentral lists this ribosomal RNA (102 nucleotides) under Vibrio sp. 99-8-1. The record is from RNAcentral. Lineage: Bacteria; Pseudomonadati; Pseudomonadota; Gammaproteobacteria; Vibrionales; Vibrionaceae.